CUGUUGCUUUGGCUUUAAUACACCCUGUUGGGCUUAGGUAGCACAGGAAACUCAGUACAGGAGCUGAUCCAGGAUGUCUGAUGCCUGAAUCUGUAAUUCCCACUGAGGUCGAACUUCCAGUGACUCCAGGAAAGAACUGCAGGAUGGCAAUCCUUUCCUGUCCAGCCAAACGCCUUAGGAAAUGCUUGCAGAAUACACGAACAACAGCGCCCUCUGCACCUGAAACCCCUCCGGUUAUUAAACCCAGACUUUCCUACGUGCUGGAGGAGCCUUUCAUUUCAAUUACUGCUUUUUUCAGCUGCUGCCUCCACCCAGUGCACAGGAAUUGUCUCACCAGCUGCAAGGGACUGAGGAGACCAAGAUGGUGUGGAAAGCUUGUCUUACUUGAAAGUAAAAGAGACUGUAUAGGUAUUGCCAAAAACUCAUUGAGAAAAAGAGCAAGACACAGACCAAAAAAUUCUUGCAUCUGUUGGCCAUUUAAUCAUUUGUUCUGUAAAAAAUAUCAUGUAGCACUGUACAUUACAAAAGAAAAAAGAAAUAAAUUUCUAUCAUGCAGCUGUAUGAGAACUCACUGUACUUUUCUUCCCUAUUAG
Molecule: long non-coding RNA, 593 nt
Filed under: Cyanistes caeruleus (blue tit)
Lineage: Eukaryota; Metazoa; Chordata; Aves; Passeriformes; Paridae
Description: lncRNA (ENSCCEG00000014875.1)
Source: RNAcentral